This 7804-nucleotide long non-coding RNA is filed under the name Marmota monax (woodchuck). Lineage: Eukaryota; Metazoa; Chordata; Mammalia; Rodentia; Sciuridae. The record is from RNAcentral.
CCGCUUAAAGGAGCAGCGUCGGGAGGGAUAGUGAGCGAGAACUACUGUAAUGCGCAGGAACCGGUACUUUUGGCUUUGCAGAGAGAGGAGAAGCCGGAAAUAAAAUGACGAAGGGUCAGAGAUUCAGGAGGAAUAGAAUUUGGAGGGAACGCAACCAUUCAACAAGUACUAAUUGAGCGCUGUUCUAGGCACAGAGGGUAAAGCCAUAGACAAGCAAACGCACUCGUGGAGUUUGCAUACUAACGGGGUGGGAGAGGGGAAAGGAACAAAUGACAAAAAUUUCAGGUAGUGGUAAGGGGUGUGAGAAAAAUAAAGUAGGGGAUAGAGUGAAAUUAUAAGCUGCCUCACAGAGGAGACCUUUGUGCCCAUACGUGGGUGAUAUGAAGGAAUGAAACUAGGAAGUUAAGGGAUAGAGAAGAGGAACGGCUUUCCAGGCUGAAAGAAAAACUGCCAUAAACCUAGAGAUGUGGAUGCCCCUGCCGUGUUGAGAAACAGCAAAAGGCCAGUAUGGCUGAGCAUUGUCAGCCUGCCAGAGAGCAGGAAUAGUUAGGCUCAAAAGGUGGGCAAGUAGCCAGAUCCUGUGGAGCCUAUGGGUCAUUAUAAGAGCAACAGGAAGGUCUGGGAGGAGGGUGAGUCCAGGAAUGACUACAUCUGAUUCAUGUUUUUAAAAGUCUUGCUGUGUGUGUGUGUGUGUGAGAGAGAGAAGUACACAAUGGAGAAUCACAAAGGCCCACAGGAGACCAGCAAGGAGGCUUUUCUUGUUAGCUUGAGCUAGGAUGGCAGCAGAGUACAAGGUGAGAAAAGGGCUGCUUUGUAAUGUGUUUUAUUCGUUUUAGUUUUAUUUAGAUACCUUUUGAUUGCAGUGGAUUUGGACUUGGACAGUAUGUGAGGAAACAAUAAGAUCACGAUUCUUAGAUUCAGGGCCUGAUGGCUGGGUUAAUAGUGGAAGAGUGACUAGAGAAGCAUAGUGUGGACAGUACUAAGGACUCUUGAAUUGGUGGUCAUAAAGUGAGACCACACAGUGUGGUGGCUGGAUUUUCCUCCAGCCACCCUCCAUUGCUUGGGACUUGGAGGAGACUUGGAUUUGAUCAGGGCUGGGUUUUGCUGGUGAAAGUCAAUGGGAGGGGUCAAUUACCCAAGGAAGUGAUUAUAGAAAUAGAUCUUGGAAUCUGAACUGGGAGGGAAGAGAAAGCAAGUAAAAAGUGGUGGUCCCUGUGGGAAGAAACGCAGAGGAAGCAAUCCAAUGAGUGAGGGCCAGGGGACUUUCCAAGGAUCAAGCAUGGGGAAGUAAGGCCAUCAGGGAAGAGGAAGCACAAAGUAUCUGUGAGGGAAAAAGCGUUCCAGCUGGCACCAAAGAGCUAGGGAAACAGCAAAGCCUUUGGGCUCCAGUCCUCAUCCUGGUGUGUGAACAGGGAGACACUGAAGGGCCCGACUGCCUACUAGUACUCUGUAGGUAACUGCACAGACCAGGGAGAAACUGAACGCUGAACGGGUUAAGCCAGGCAGAUACAGCCUAGGCUGUUCUAUAAACACUGGGAGACCCACUGGAUAUUUCGCUUUCCCCACACCAUGGACACACUCUUACCUAGUGUUUGAUCGAAGCUAAAAAAUAUCUUUCCUCCAAUGUUGGGUUCUUCCUCCUCUUGACUUUCCCUUUGCUGCUCAUAGCACCCUCUUCUCAGUCACUGAGCUGUCAAAGCCUCCACAUCCUUUAAUUUUUCUUCCUCACCCCUAUGCCCAAUUAGUCCCCAAAGUGUGUUGUGAUCUGCACAAUCCAAUUGUUCUGCCAUGAUGGAAAUGUUCUUUAUCUGCAAUGGUCCACAUGUAGCUAAUGAGCACUUGAAAUGUGACCAAUACAAUGAGGUACUGAAUUCCAAAUCUUGAAUAAUUUUAAUUAAAUUUAGAUUUAAAUAGCUGCAUAAGCUAAGGGCUACCUGUGUAGCACAGUUAUAGAUAUUUCCUACCCAAUGGCUCUUCCAUCUGCUCCUUCCUCUGAAGCUACAUUGCCAUAAUUCUAGUAUUGAUUUUUUUUUAACCCAGGGGCACUUAACCACUGAGCAACAUCACCAGCCCCUUUUUUUGUAUUUUAUUUGAGACAAGGGUCUCACCAAGUUGCUUAGGGCCUCAAAAAGUUGCUGAGGAGGCUGGCUUUGAACUCACAAUCCUCCUGCCUCAGUCUCCCAAACCUCUGGGAUUAUAGGUGUGUGCUAUCAUGCCCAGCUAGAUCAGGUAUUGAUUUACUCCUAAUCUAAACUUUUGUUUUACUUCUGUUUGGACUCCUGCUUAGUUGCUUUUCCAUCAGUCCAUCUUAUGUUCUUGCUAAAAUCGUCUUCCUAAGCAAUGAUCAUAUCAUGACUCCACCUAUUCUAGAAGUUAUUAGUAGUUCCCUAUCAAAUUAAGCACAAACACUUCACUCUGACACUUACCCAGUUAUGUAUCUCCCCCCACUUUUCCAGUCUUACAUUUCACCAUACCCUUAUAUGUAAAGUGAACUACUUGCUAUUAUUCUAUCAGUUUAUUAAACUCUGUCUGCCACAGAUGCCUCCAAUUCCCUCUACCAGAACCCAAAUCUGUUGAAGGCCUGUCCCAUAUCACAGCUCCUACCUGGAGCCUUUUCUAAUUUCCUCCUCCUCUGAAGUCCCCACAGUUUCUAUUUCUACUUACCUGUGGUAUAUUUUGUGUAUUCCUUAUAUUCCUGUUACUAAAUGACACUCCUUGCAGGUCACUGCAUGUUAAUUGUAUUUGUACCUCUUGCAAUGUUAGUCCUGCACCUUAUGAAAUAGCCACCAAAUGAAACAUAUGCUUUGUUGAAACUUUGCUGUUAUGAAAGUAUUUCUUUUCUUGUUAUUACUGGCUGAGAAUUUCUUCCAGAUGCUUCCCCAACUUAGGAUACCUUGGCAAUUCCAUUAGAGCUUGUAAUCCUAGACAGUGUGGGUAUACUUAGAACUGGCAGGACCAGCAUAGCCACUUCCAGGAUCAAUUUGUGGGAAAGGCCUUUAAGAAGCGGAUUUGUAUCAGAUUGUGAUAUAAAUCAAUAAAAAGAGCUUUCUAUCUAAUAAAUGUUUAGAAAAUGUAUUUUUAGAGCUUGAACUGUUAGAAGCCUGUAACCCAAGAGUAGGAUUACAUAGGCUAUGCCGGGCAAUAUUUGAUGUACUUUUCCUAUUGGCACAAUAGAAUUUAAGAAUUUGAAAAGCAGGUAUAGUAUUUUAAAUAAUUAAUUAAUUAAUUUUUGCAGUGCUGGAUAUCAAACUUAAGACCCUGAGCAUGCCAGGCAAGUAUUGCACCACUGAGUUCCAUCCCAUUCCGUUUUUAAACAAAAUGUACCUUAUACACUGAGGACCUUAUGCACAUUUAUUCAAUACACCUUAGCAGAGGCUUGCCAUUUACCAAGGACUUCUGCUUGUUGCUGAGGAUACAAAGAUAGGAAAGAUAUGAUUCCUGCCUUCAAGAACAUAUGGUAAAGACAGGACCUGGCUUUGGCAUGCAUUUUUACAGUUUCAGGAUGAUUCCAGUUAUCAAAAAACAUUAAAUUCAGUAUUAUUAGCCUCAUUUUUAGAGGGAAAAACUUGUUUGGAGAGAUUCAAUAAAUUUGUACAAAAUCACAGAGCUAGUAAUUGGCAAGGCCUCAAAGAGGUACCUGAAUCUUCAGGUAUCAAAACAUUGGUUGAAUUAAAAUGUAAGUUCCUUGAAAAUAGCAAGUUGAUCCAUUUUUCUCAUUGCUAUAUUCUCAGUGAAUAUGAGUGCUGAGAAUGAAAGAGAAAGAACAUGAGAAUAUAAGCCAGCCAUCUAAGUCAUUAGUUAUUUGUUUAUUUUAAUUAAUUAUGUGCUGAGCUGAUAUUACCGAUAUUAGUGCUAACGUAAAAUGUGGUCCACAGAUUGGUACUAAUGCACAAAUUGUUUAUUACCAGUGAAUCUUGAGAUUAGCACAGAAAAUGAGCAAACAUUUAGGAUCUCUUUUGGCAACUUGGCGUUACUGUGACAUCUCAGCAAGUGAUCAGUGGUCUUGUCUCAUUGAACCUGGAGACAGGUAAGUUCAGGUGUCCAACUUGGAUAGGGAGUCCAUAUGGCAUACUCUGUGUACUAGUAAUACUGCAUCUAAUUCAGUCCCACCCUUUAGGCUAUUUACCACCCACCUGCUCCACCUCCUGGAGAUUCUUUACUAUGUAACCAAGAGAAUGCUUCCUGUCUUUGAAGUGAAAGUCCCAACAGAUUUGAAUUUUUUUAAAAAACUGCUCUUCACCUCAGAAGUUAGAUCUACUAAUCUUAUGAUGUGGAGACAUUGUUGUGCAGUAAUUAUGUAUAUGAUCCCUGGAAUGAGAUGACAUAGGUUUAAAUGCAGGUUCUGCUACUUACCAACUGCUUCCGCAAAUUGCUUAAUCUCUUGCAGCCUCAGUGUUAUUAUCUGUAAUAUGUACUUUAAAAAGUCUAAAAUUUCAGAGGGCCUUCAUAAAAAACUAUGAAAGGUAAUGCAGUUUACAGAAACUUGAACAUGAUGAAAUGUUAUAAUAAAUAUUUUCCUUAUUCUGGAUCAUAAAAAUUUAUGAUAUUUGCAAAGUUUUUCAAAACCUUCACAAUAGAGAUGAUUCUAUCAAUAUCCAACCUUGUAAAUAAACAAUCACUUUCAGUUAUAAACAUUGUUAAAAGAUAAUACAUAUCAGCUAAUUCCAAAAGUUCUUUAUUUUGUAUUUGUUUAAUGGGGGAUUGAACCCAGGAGCAUUCAACUAUUGAGCUACAUCUCCAGCCCUAUUUAUUUAUUUAUUUAUCUAUCUAUCUAUCUAUCUAUCUAUCUAUUUAUUUAAAUUUUGAAAUAGGACCUUGCAAGUUACCCAGGCUGGUCUUGAACUACAAUGUGAUCUUCCUACCUGAGCCUCCUGAGUAGUUAGGAUUAUAGGCACGCGCCAUUUUACCCAGCAAUAUUUGUUUUUUAAUGCAUGAUAUGAUAUGAGGGACACUACAUUUAGUUUCUAGGUGUCCAUUAAAAGCAGUUAUUUCUUCAGCUCAGCUUGUCUGUAGGUGAAAGAAGGCAGCCAGGCAGGUGCAUGUGUACAUUGCAUGAAAGCAUGAGGGUAGAGCUCAGUGGUAGCAUAUAUGCUCAGCAUGUGCAAGACCCUAGGUUUAAUCCCCAACAACACACACACACACACACACACACGGAGUUAUUUGAUGGCAUAUAUGUUGCCUACUUAUAUAUAAAUUCAAAAGACUUCAUAUGCAGACUCUUUUCUGCUGAACUCUAUCCUGCUCAUUCUUCUCCAUUUCCUUCUGUGAACUUUGUCAUCUGGAAGAAAGCAGCUACUCACCCAUGCAGCUCCGCAACUCCUAGAAAGAGUCAAGGAUUCCUGCACCAGAGAGGCUAGAUAAUGAUGAGCACCAGGCAGGCAGGACACACUGGCUGAAAAGAGAGCCCUGUGUAGGCAGAGAGCCAGAAUGUCAAAAGUAAGCAGUCCUUUUUUAUCUGGAAGGAAAAGCUUGCACUUAUCUGUACUAUUGGGGACAAGACUGUCACCAGCCCAACUCAGCCUUCAAUAAGUGGAGGGAAAAGGACUCCAAGAGGGUUUGUACCAUCUUUAUGGAUCUGAAUUAACAUUGUUCUAUAACAAAACUCAAAUGUGUAAACUGCAAAUCAAGGAAUCCAAUAUAUGACAUCUGAAUUUACAGAAGGCAGAAUAGUAUGAUUAAAUCUAAUAGGGUUAUUAGAUUUAACAAUAAAAAUAUAGGAUUCCUGAUUUAGAUUUGAAUUUUAAAUAAACAAAUAUAUAUUUUAGUGUAAAUAUGUUCCAGGCAGUAUUUAGAAUUUGUAUAUCUGAAAUUCUAAUAUUACUGGAUGUCCUGUAUUUUAUCUGAUAACCCUAUAGGUGGUUAAACAUGCAGGCUCUGAAUCUAUAAUCCAUACUGUAUAAGUUCAAAUUCUGAUCCUACCACAUAUCAGUUGCGUGGCUUUGGGCACAUUACUAAACUUUCUAAGACUCCAUAUGUGUAAAAUUUGGAUAACAUUUACUUCAUACCAGGACUGGGGUUGUAACUCGGUGGUAGAGUGCUUAUCUAGCACAUGUGAGGGACUAAGUUUGAUCCUCAGCACCACAUAAAAAUAAAUAAGUAAAAUAAAGGUAUUGUGUCCAUCUACAACCAAAAAUUGUUUUAAAAUCACCUCAUAGAGUUGUUGUUAAGAGUAAAUGAUACACAUAAAAAUUUAUAAUGGUAACUGACACAGAAUAAGGGCUGAUAAAAAUAUUAGCUACUUUUAUAGGGAAAAUUAAUGGUUUUUCAUAACCAAAUAUCUUUUUUAAAAAUCUAACAUUAUUUAAUGUUAAAUCUGGGUGGAAGGUGUUUUUGCCUCCGUAUUGCCUUGGUACUUGCAAUUUAGUUUACAACAAGGUGAACUAACAUAACUUUCAGACUCACUCUCUAUGGUAUAAAGGAACACAUUACCAAUACCUUACAGAAUCAGAAAGUUUCCUAUUCCUUCCCUUGAUGCCUAACAAUUGAAGCCAAUUUUUUUCCCAUUUUUUAUUGGGACAUUAUAAUUAUACCUAAUUGAACCCGGUUGUUAAGUUGUCCUAAAAACCUGGUGCUUCAGAUUUCCAGUGCACAAUUUGGGUAAGUGUUCACAAAAGACUCGUUGAGCAUUCACUAGAUCAAAAUCAGGAGUCAGUGAUAGACCCUAAAUGGAAUUUUGUUUCUAAGGUAUUUAUUAUAGGAUUUUUGAACUCUAUAGAUUAUUUAAGAAUAACCAACUUAUGUAGAUAAUUUCAGUUCUUGAAUAUAGAGUUCUGUUAGCACAAAGUUAAACACCAAACAAGAAGAAAUUAUAUAAUAGAAAGUGCAGUGGGCUUAGAAUCCAGAAAUUUGGUUCUCCCACUCAGUACAAGUCACCUAAUGCUUCUGAAUAUUUGCUUCUUCAUUUAUAAAUUGAGAAUAUUAAUAUCUACUGUAAACAGCAAAAACAGAGUUAAAUGAGAUAAUGUAAGGACAAAUACAAUACUGGGAAUAAAGUAAACACUCAGUAAAUGCCCGUUAACAUGAAUCUGUUUAUUUAUUAGAAAGAAGACCAGAGAGGAACACCAGAGGAAGCUUAAAGAAAGAUCCGAGCCUGGGAUUUAUGCUACUUUAUAUGGCUGAGCUAAAACUCCUUACUCUGUCCACAUCUGCUUCUGGAUGAGAACCAAUUACUUCCAAACAAUGAUACAACCUAAGGGGAAUGCAAGAAAGGACUCCAUCCAUCUUCCCCAUCUUCAGGGCCAUGUGUGUGUCUGUGUGUGUGUGUGUGUGUGUGUGUACUGGGGCAGGGGUGGAGGGCAGUAGUGAGGAGGAGGAAAGGCCAGAAAAGGAGUUGGAAAAAUAUUUUUCUUCUUUUGAUAAUUCGUUAAGUUGAAUACCAAACUGUGCAGAAAAAAAAAAAAAGCAGUUUGACUCCAGAACUUGGAAAACACACUUCCAGUAAAUUUACAAUAUUAAUUUUGCGCUGAGAGAGCAAAUCCCAAAUUCAAACCAGAUUCACAAAUUAUGAUCUCACUUUUUCCAGAGUUUCUACUGAUUAGGCUUGUUAUAGAUUAACUAGAGGUAGAAUGUAUUAAAGGGAAAGAAGAGAGAAAAAGAGAAUACCUAAACUCAGAGAAUAAAAUUUCCUGUGUUUGCUUUUUCUGCUAAUAAAUGAGACUCAAGCAAAAGAGUAUGUAUUUUCUAAGGAGAAGUGAGGGUGAAUGUGUGAGCAUUUUACAGAGGGGAUUACCAAGGGAGUCAAUCAUUUUGAGCUGGAAAGCUGUAAAGAGGGCCAGUUGUCUCAAGACAGUGCAGGGAUGAGGGU